Panicum virgatum (switchgrass) is the source of this 1623-nucleotide long non-coding RNA. RefSeq lists it as uncharacterized. The transcript has 3 exons. The record is from RefSeq and is a predicted model, not a curated record. NCBI's taxonomy places the organism in Eukaryota, Viridiplantae, Streptophyta, Magnoliopsida, Poales, Poaceae.
GCGCCACCGCCCGCCGCCACCGGCACCACCUUCCGCGUGCGCCUGCGCCUGCGCGAGCGGCCGAGCGUGCAGGCCCCCGAGCCCGAGGCGGCCUCUUCCUCUUCUUAUCCCCGGUGACCUCGACUUCCUGUCCACACGACGGCACCGCCCUUCCACUCCGCCUCGCACCUCCACGCAACGGCGUCGCCCCUCCACUCCUCCUCGCGCCUCCACGCAACGGCGCCGCCCCUCCGAUCCGCCUUUGCCUUCGCUAGAUCCGGCGAGCCGCGUGUCCUCUGCCUCCACCUCUUUGCCGUCGUCGUCCACCACUGGGGUCGUCGAGUUCGCCACUCGCCGCAUCCACGUCGAGGACAAGGUCGUCAAAGCCCAGAUCUGGGACACCGCUGGCUAGGAAAGGUACGCGCCCCAGAUCCGUCUGAGCUCUGCGAGGCUCAUCGAUCCCCUUCCUCCUAUCUGAUCUCCGAUUGGUCCAUCCGUUAGCAAUUGGUUGGUCUGCGUCGUAUGGAUCUCUGUAGCUUAACUUGGUCAGUGAUCCCUAGUUGGUAGUUGCCAAUACGAUUCCGCGUGUUUUGUAAUUUAUAUGUCCGCGUUUGUGUGCUGCUGCUGCUGCGGCUGAGGCCAGUGUGUUUCUUGAUUGUUGCAUUGCGCCCUCAGCUAAAUCAAUCAAUAUAUAUAUGUGCACUUGCUAGUCGUGAAUUUUACAUAUAUAAGCUUUUCCAAGUAUAUGUAAACUCAUCAUGUACUACAUACUACUUCCUUCUAUAUAUCCAUCUGAUUCCAAGUAAUGCUAAUGUUCUUCCUUGUCGCUUUCAACAUCUGAUGAUGUGCUUGCUAUACCUGUCUCCACAAAGGAUGAGGAUGGAAAGUGGUUCUAGCAAUACAGCCAAGUCAGAACUUGACAAGUAUCUUAGUGAAGAUACAGAGGAUAGGAAUAAAAAGAUUGACAUCCUUGUUUGGUGGAAAGACAACGCACCCAGGCUUCCAGUUUUAGCUCACUUGGCUCGUGAUGUGCUUGCUAUACCUGUCUCCACAGUAGCAUCAGAGUAUGCUUUCAGCACAAGUGGACGUAUUUUAGAUGAUUUCCGUACUUCUCUUACUCCAUUCAUGGUAGAGGCUCUAGUUUGUGCACAGGAUUGGCUUAGGAGAGCAACUCCUAUUGACAUCAAAGAGAAUAUGGAGGAAUUAGAAAUGAUGGAAAAAGAGUUAAUUGAAGAAUUUGGUAACCAUAAAGCUCAGAAUAUUAGCAAAGGAAAAGGGAAAGAAAAAGAGGCUUCCACUGAGAAAACACAAGCAACACCAACAGGAAGCAACUCCAAGUCCAUCUCCAAACCCGGGUCGUCUACAUCUUAGAAGGCUGGUGCCGUGGUGCAUGGUGCUGGUGGGUGCCUGGGUGGUUUGGACUUUGGUGCCUGCCUGCCUGGAGGCGCAGCUUCAUCUUCAUGAGAGUCAUGUUUAUCUCUGUUGGGUGCUUCAAAACUAUAUUUAUUAAUUGUGAUAUUUGAAGUGUAAACUGUCAGUUUGGUCAUGUACUAGUAGUGUUGUUUAUCUUUGAAAAACUCAUGUUUAUCUCUGAACAUGUAUACUAGCGACUGGGCAUGUUUAUUCAGUUACUCAGUUUGGUCA